AGCCUCGCAAUGAGCACAAAGCGAACUAUUCUUUCGCCUUUUACUAAAGAAUACCGUGUGUUCAUUGCUAAAAGAGGCAUACGCCAAUUUUUGGAGGGUUUUUCCUUUACUGGAU
Molecule: small nuclear RNA, 115 nt
Organism: Tripterygium wilfordii
Lineage: Eukaryota; Viridiplantae; Streptophyta; Magnoliopsida; Celastrales; Celastraceae
Product: U5 spliceosomal RNA
Exons: 1
Source: RefSeq, a predicted model, not a curated record